This 826-nucleotide long non-coding RNA is filed under the name Equus caballus (horse). Its description in RNAcentral is "lncRNA (ENSECAG00000041676.2)". The record is from RNAcentral. Lineage: Eukaryota; Metazoa; Chordata; Mammalia; Perissodactyla; Equidae.
CAGACAACUACCCAUCAGAGAAGCAGUAAAAUCAACCCCCCAACUCCCUUCCACCCAGAGAGAUAUCUAGAGUGUCAAAUCACCUGGAGGGCUUGUGACGCCACAGAUCACUACAUCUCAUGCCAAGUUUCUGAUUCAGUAGGUCUGGAGAGGGCCAGAGGUUUUGCAUUUCCAACAAGCUCCCAGGCGAUGCCCAUGUUGGCCAGCCCCUUCAAGUUCAGAGGGAUCAUGCAAAUGAGGCCCCAAGGCCUGCCUGGAGCAUCUCAGAGUUCCCCCAGGCAAAUGCAGUUUAAAGCAGACAACCUGAAAUUAAAACACAGAAAUAAACAACUGAAGAGGGUCUCCUUUGCCUUUCUCAGUGUGGAAGAGAUGACUUGUACCAGGGUCCAAGUCUUCAAGAUGAUGGAGAGGGAAGGAGGUGGGUGGUGCCAGGCUGCUUUACAUAUUUGCAGCCACAUUGCGACUGUUCAAGUGCUGCGCGUGGAGGAGCAGAUGCAAUCAUGGAUACGCUCUGAAAGAUUGUUUACAGACUGCUUGGUGACUGUGCAACUUUUUUUCUUUUAGUACCAACAAGUGGUACCAAGCGCCAUUUCUCUUUGAAUAAUCCCAGGGCUUCGUGCCAGUGUUUGAUUUUGCAAUCAGUCCUUCUGGUAGCACUUUAAAUUAAUGUUCGCACAUAUGGAUUUAAUUGGAAUUUAAUAAGACACUGCAUAAGUAAAAACCAUGUGAUACUAAAAACAUAUUUACUGAAGAUUAACCACCAUGGAGAUACAAAUCUAUUAUGUAGAAACCCCAAUAAAUAUUUUUAGAAUGUUAAAUCAUGUGU